RNAcentral lists this ribosomal RNA (1482 nucleotides) under uncultured bacterium. RNAcentral describes it as "bacterial SSU rRNA". It matches the Rfam family "Bacterial small subunit ribosomal RNA". The record is from RNAcentral.
UAGAGUUUGAUCCUGGCUCAGGGUGAACGCUGGCGGCGUGCUUUAGGUAUGCAAGUCGAACGCUUGUGUGUAGCACAAGGAAAUUCGGAUUUAGAAUUUCGGAUUUUCUCGGGCUAUGCACGAGAGUGGCAGACGGGUGAGUAACGCAUGAGAACUUACUUUGGGGAGGAACAUAGCCCCGCGAAAGCGGGGGUAAUAUUCCGUACGGUCGCCUUUGGCGACGAUAGGGUGUAACUACCCGCCCUAAGAGAGGCUCAUGUCCUAUCAGCUAGUUGGUGAGGUAAAGGCCCACCAAGGCGAUGACGGGUAGCUGGACUGAGAGGUCGGUCAGCCACAGGGGCACUGAGACACGGGCUCCACACCUACGGGUGGCAGCAACCAGGAAUUUUGGGCAAUGGGCGAAAGCCUGACCCAGCGACGCCGCGUGGAGGAAGAAGGCCUUCGGGUUGUAAACUCCUUUUGCCAUGUCACACGACAUGGAGAAUAAGCCUCUACUAACUACGUGCCAGAAGUCUCGGUAAUACGUAGGAGGCAAGCGUUACCCGGAUUUAUUGGGCGUAAAGAGUAUGUAGGCGUCCUUUCAAGUCACACUUUAAAGACCAAGGCUUAACCUUGGAAUUGGGUGUGAUACUGUUAUGGAUUGAGGAUUGCCAGGGGUAUCGGAACAGCUGGUGUAGCAGUGAAAUGCGUUGAUAUCAGCUGGAACACCAAAGGCGAAGGCAGAUACCUGGGGUCAUUCCUGACGCUGAGAUACGAAAGCUAGGGUAGCGAAACAGAUUAGAGACCUGUGUAGUCCUAGCUGUAAACAUUGGGCGCUAGCUGGUAAGGUGACUUGCUAGCUAAGCUAACGCGUUAAGCGCCCCGCCUGGGGAGUACGGCCGCAAGGCUAAAACUCAAAGGAAUUGACGGGGACCCGCACAACCAGUGGAGCGUGUGGUUCAAUUCGAGACAAAGCGAAAAACCUCACCAGGACUUGACAUGUAACCGUUUAGUUUCCUAGAAAUAGGGGAUGAUCCGCAAGGAUGGUUACACAGGUGCUGCAUGGCUGUCGUCAGCUCGUGCCGUGAGGUGUUCCCUUAAGUGGGGAAACGAGUGCAACCCCUGCUGUGUGUUAAAUAUUCACACGGGACUGCCUCGCCUUUGGCGAGGAGGAAGGAGGGGCGGACGUCAAGUCAGCAUGGCCCUUAUGUCCUGGGCCACACACACACUACAAUGGCGAAAAACAAUGAGUUGCAAGCACGUAAGUGUAAGCUAAUCUCUCAAAUUUCGCCUCAGUUCAGAUUGGGGUCUGAAACCCGACCCCAUGAAGCCGGAAUUGGUAGUAAUCGCGGAUCAGCGUGCCGCGGUGAAUACGUUCUCGGGUCUUGUACACACCGCCCGUCAAGGCAGCAAAGUCGGGAGUGGCCGAAGUCGCCUUGGCGACGAGGCCAAGUUCGGCGAUGAAGCUUAAGUCGAACAAGGAACCAGGGGAAUCGCGCGAUA